RNAcentral lists this long non-coding RNA (746 nucleotides) under Triticum aestivum (bread wheat). RNAcentral's name for it is "long non-coding RNA (TAES_LNC001570)". The record is from RNAcentral. Lineage: Eukaryota; Viridiplantae; Streptophyta; Magnoliopsida; Poales; Poaceae.
CGCGUCCAAUGCAAUAUAGAGGUAUGAACAUGACGAAUUAAAGAAAUACCAUAUGUUGUUGAUGAUUCUUGGGUUGGAUUUUCAAUCAAUUGACCGUGGAUGUCAAUUCCCAUGUCUGUUCGUCUUUUUCUCUGCCGAUGUCUCGCUGAUGGAAGGAUGUGAACAUUCCCAAUUCCUGGUCACACAGAUUAAACAAGGAUCAAUCCAUUGCAGUUUUCCGCUGCUUACCUUUGUUGACUGAAAAUUGUGGCGAAUUUCCAGUUUCUAUUGUUUUCUUGAUUAUAAUGAAUCUAUUUCUUCUCGAGCGUGCGUUUAAUCUAUUGUUUCCUCUCCCGUAGGAAUUCAUGUUGAUACACGCUUGUGUCUCUCUUGCCGCGAACAGCGUCAUGGCUGCUGAUGUUUCUUCGAUGUCGAUUCAUUUUUGCCUUGUGAUGAAAGCACUCGCGCCGCAGAACUGGAGCCGCGGGCGCCGCCAAUCCAUGCUUUGGUCAAAAACGGACGAAGGCCACGCCGCCGUCGCGCCGGUAGGGGCGGUCGCUUGCCAGCAGUUGUCCGUUGUCAUCUGAUUCUGCUCCGGGAGGAGGAGGUAUGGGGUCGAGGCCCUCGGUUGUCUCCGUCGGACGCGCUCCUAUACAUUGCUCGAUUGGAGAGCAGCAAGUGCUGAUAACGUGUUUUGAGUGAAAAGUAAAGAACAAGAGAGUUGAAUGAAAGAUGAUCCAUCAGUCUUUAUUGAUGAUAGAAGUGGG